Unclassified non-coding RNA from Pongo abelii (Sumatran orangutan), 148 nucleotides. It matches the Rfam family "Metazoan signal recognition particle RNA". Rfam says of the family: The signal recognition particle (SRP) is a universally conserved ribonucleoprotein. It is involved in the co-translational targeting of proteins to membranes. The record is from Ensembl. NCBI's taxonomy places the organism in Eukaryota, Metazoa, Chordata, Mammalia, Primates, Hominidae.
AUUAGGCAUGGUGGUGCAUGCCUGUAGUCCCAGCUACUCAGGAGGCUGAGGCAGGAGGAUUGCUUGAGCCCAGGAGUUUGAGGCUGCAGUGAGCUGUGAUCACACCACUGCACUCCAGCCUGGGCCACAGAGUGAGAUCCUGUCUCAA